Molecule: long non-coding RNA, 348 nt
Filed under: Mytilus galloprovincialis (Mediterranean mussel)
Lineage: Eukaryota; Metazoa; Mollusca; Bivalvia; Mytilida; Mytilidae
Source: RNAcentral
GUUUGAUCUUUUAAUUUUGCCUUUUAAUUAAGGACUUUCCGUUUUGAAUUUAAAAAGUUCUAAUAAAUCAAUAAAAGCCACUUAUUAAAUUUCUUCCUGUAAAAAUCUGUUUACUAGGUACUCUACAAGUAUAAGGUGGAAUGAUAUUAAUAGGUUUGUAUUACAAGCCCAUAGAGAGCACCAAUAUGAUUGUAUACUUAGCCUUUAUCAAAAACGUUUGCACCAAAUGGGAUAAAUAAAAUGUGUAGUUAAAAUCGCGUAUAUAAAAACACAGCAUUAGUCAUUUUGAAAUAGUUGAGAAGCCUCUUUGUAGAUACUUGAUUUUCGUGAAUUUGGAGAUCUUUAAAU